RNAcentral lists this long non-coding RNA (468 nucleotides) under Oryza sativa Indica Group (long-grained rice). RNAcentral describes it as "lncRNA OsMH63_11G001500". The record is from RNAcentral. Lineage: Eukaryota; Viridiplantae; Streptophyta; Magnoliopsida; Poales; Poaceae.
GUCAGCGCCCUGCCAAACCGCUUCACUGCCAUCGCCUUGGGAGAUUUUGCAGGCUCUGUCAUCGCAGCCCGGUUGAGUUCAGCCACGGUAGCGCUUGCAAACAGCCACACCAUGUGCUAUCCAUGUGAAAGCAUGAUCGAGGACAUGACCACCUCGUCGGGAGCUUCCUCAACCGCCGAUGCGCCGCUGCUAUGCUCCUCUGCGCUGUCGUCUUCACCUCAUCAUUGUCGUUCCCAUUCCAUCACACCACCAUCUCUAGAGUUUGUGCCGUCAUCAUACGAGCAUCAUGCUGCCACUUCUCUGUCAUGGUUGAGAGGCCAUCACUCUGCUGCUCUUCUGUUCUUCCAUGUCGGGUUGCUGUCGUGUGCACAUAAAGACGCCACUGCCUCGUCGUCUAGCACAUAUUGUUGCUGCCAUGUCUCCACUAUCGUGGUUGGUAAGGACCUGCACUGCCUCCACUUUUUAUAA